GAUCAUGGCUCAGGAUGAACGCUAGCUACAGGCUUAACACAUGCAAGUCGUAGGGGGCAGCAUGGUCUUAGCUUGCUAAGGCCGAUGGCGACCGGCGCACGGGUGAGUAACACGUAUCCAACCUGCCGUCUACUCUUGGACAGCCUUCUGAAAGGAAGAUUAAUACAAGAUGGCAUCAUGAGUCCGCAUGUUCACAUGAUUAAAGGUAUUCCGGUAGACGAUGGGG
This 226-nucleotide ribosomal RNA is filed under the name uncultured bacterium. RNAcentral describes it as "partial 16S ribosomal RNA". It matches the Rfam family "Bacterial small subunit ribosomal RNA", at positions 15 to 230 of the family's 1533-position model. The record is from RNAcentral.